CCUACGGGAGGCAGCAGUGGGGGAUAUUGCACAAUGGGGGGAACCCUGAUGCAGCGACGCCGCGUGGGUGAAGGAGCGUUUCGGCGCGUAAAGCCCUAUUGGCAGGGAAGAAGAUGACGGUACCUGACCAUGAAGCCCCGGCUACAUACGUGCCAGCAGCCGCGGUAAUACGUAGGGGGCAAGCGUUAUCCGGAUUUACUGGGUGUAAUGGGGGCGCAGACGGCAAUGCAAGCCAGAGGUGAAAGCCCGGGGCCCAACCCCGGGACUGCGCUUGGAACUGCAUGGCUUGAGUACAGGAGGGGCAGGCGGAAUUCCGAGUGUAGCGGUGAAAUGCGUAGAUAUUAGGAGGAACACCGGGGGCGAAGGCGGCCUGCUGGACUGUGACUGACGUUGAGGCCCGAAGGCGUGGGGAGCAAACAGGAUUAGAUACCCCGGUAGUC
Molecule: ribosomal RNA, 440 nt
Filed under: uncultured bacterium
Lineage: Bacteria
Description: partial 16S ribosomal RNA
Rfam family: Bacterial small subunit ribosomal RNA
Source: RNAcentral